GUCGGGAAUCUUGGGCAAUGGGCGAAAGCCUGACCCAGCAACGCCGCGUGAGGGAUGAAGGCCUUCGGGUCGUAAACCUCUGUCAGGAGGGAAGAACGGUCUGUGGGUGAAUAAUCCAGGGGCCUGACGGUACCUUCAAAGGAAGCGCCGGCUAACUCCGUGCCAGCAGCCGCGGUAAUACGGAGGGCGCAAGCGUUGUUCGGAAUCAUUGGGCGUAAAGCGCGCGUAGGCGGCACGGCAAGUCGGGUGUGAAAUCCCGGGGCUCAACCCCGGAACUGCACUCGAAACUGCCGAGCUAGAGUCUCGGAGAGGAAGGCGGAAUUCCCGGUGUAGAGGUGAAAUUCGUAGAUAUCGGGAGGAACACCAGUGGCGAAGGCGGCCUUCUGGACGAUGACUGACGCUGAGGUGCGAAAGCGUGGGGAGCAAACAGG
This 431-nucleotide ribosomal RNA is filed under the name uncultured bacterium. RNAcentral describes it as "bacterial SSU rRNA". It matches the Rfam family "Bacterial small subunit ribosomal RNA", at positions 354 to 776 of the family's 1533-position model. The record is from RNAcentral.